UACAGAGGUCCCGAGCGUUGUUCGGAUUUAUUGGGCGUAAAGGGUGCGUAGGCGGCGGAGUAAGUUGGGUGUGAAAUCCCGGGGCUCAACCUCGGAAUGGCAUUCAAUACUGCUUCGCUAGAGUACUGGAGAGGAGGCUGGAAUUUACGGUGUAGCAGUGAAAUGCGCAGAUAUCGGGAAGAACACCCGUGGCGAAGGCGGCUCUCUGGGACGGUACUGACGCUGGGACGCGAAAGCGUGGGGAGCGAACAGG
RNAcentral lists this ribosomal RNA (253 nucleotides) under uncultured bacterium. RNAcentral's name for it is "partial 16S ribosomal RNA". It matches the Rfam family "Bacterial small subunit ribosomal RNA", at positions 524 to 776 of the family's 1533-position model. The record is from RNAcentral.